UGGGGAAUAUUGGACAAUGGGGGCAACCCUGAUCCAGCAAUGCCGCGUGUGUGAAGAAGGCCUGCGGGUUGUAAAGCACUUUAGUGGGGGAAGAAAUGCUGCGUUUAAAUAGAGCACGGAGUUGACACUACCCCAAGAAUAAGCACCGGCUAACUCUGUGCC
This 162-nucleotide ribosomal RNA is filed under the name uncultured bacterium. RNAcentral's name for it is "partial 16S ribosomal RNA". It matches the Rfam family "Bacterial small subunit ribosomal RNA", at positions 355 to 509 of the family's 1533-position model. The record is from RNAcentral.